Long non-coding RNA from Paramacrobiotus metropolitanus, 2030 nucleotides. RefSeq lists it as uncharacterized. The transcript is spliced from 3 exons. NCBI's taxonomy places the organism in Eukaryota, Metazoa, Tardigrada, Eutardigrada, Parachela, Macrobiotidae. The record is from RefSeq and is a predicted model, not a curated record.
UUCACUUUGUGUCGGUUGUAGUAAGCUUGCACAUGUAAAGAUUCAUACAAGAUUUAUUGAAAUUUAAGUGCUCAUUUGAACAUGUAUAGUUAAAGCUUAAAGGCAAUUCGCAUAUACUGGUAUGCAAAUUAUGCCGCUAAUUACGAAAUUUAAAUGAUGAUGAUGACAACUAAAAGUUAACUUUAUUUUUUACAGGUCUGUUUGGUGUAGAAUAACCGAAUAACGGGUGUUUUUCGGGUUUUCAGUGAUCAAAUCACAGUCUUAUCGUGAGCGCAUAUUGCCGGGAUAUUUACCUGCAUUUUUUUAAUUAUGCAGCUGUGUUAAGAGCGGCGUCAUUUUGAUCUGCUCUGUGUGGAAAUGUUUGUGUGGUUGUACUUUUUAUCGUGACCUGUACCAUUGCGUAAGGAACAGACGGUGCGGAAUAAGCCCGAUGGUAAAAUAGAAGUUUUUACUUUUUACUACUCGUCAUUAUUGCAGCGAACUUUGUCUGGGCACCAACCGGUGCCCAUUAAGCGGUGAGGAUUUUUGCAUUACAGUAUUAAGCGUACACCGUCCAUGCCAAAUGAUUGCAAAUCGAAACGCGGAUGCCAAAUGAUUGCAAAUCGAAACGCGGAUUCUUCGUGAAUCGGCGUGGUUUGGAGCUUGGCACAGUUUUCAAAUUCAUUCUUUUUGCAGCACCAUUACGCAUUAAUUGCUGAUCGAGCUAUUCAUGCCGAAACAAAUCCACAUCGUUCCACGAUAACUGGCAGAUGCGACACUGUGUCGUUGGUGUUGCCGGAUGCCGGUGACGACGCUUCCUUAGCGGCACUAUUCACGGAAUCGUUGUGUGACAGCCAUUUCCCGUGGGUUUUUCUGACCGCACAUCGAAGCCCGUCGAACACAGUGCGGCCCCCACGUCGACUUCCUUGGCAAUAUUUCUCACAUGUGUCAUCAGAAUGGUCGUGGGGAGCGCGAUCGCUUUGGCCAGAAUCCGCUUAAUUAAUAACUCGCUGUUUUUCGCGAGUAUCCACGGUAUAUUUUUCUUCCACACCGGGAUCACCCUUCGAAUGCGGACUGCGGAGCAUCCGGCUGGACCGCGAAAUUGCGCUGCUACAUGGGCAACACUUUGCGGACACACGUCCAACCUCUUGACAAUCGCUUCCCGGACACUAUCAGCCUGCAGAUGUGCAGUCUGCGCCAUCAUCUCGUCGCUGACCGUCUUAUAUCGACAUCCGCGUAGCCACAUGGGCACCUCGGCCGCCGCCAUCUUCCGCCUGCAGCUGCACAAGACGCCAUCUCGUUGCGGAGUUAUCGGUGUGCGCAUGCACCCGGCAGGAAGGCGGAUUGGUGGAUGAGCCGUCUACCUUUCUGCCGGACUUCGAAAGGACGGUGAUGCAGUGUCACUGGACGUCCAACAACAUCAUGCCGUUUACGCACGCCGCACCAUGACGUUCUACAAAGAAUUUCUCCAUUUGGCGCAACAGCUGCAUAGUGUGCUUGGACACGUUGACCUUUUACUGGACGGCCGCAGUGGUCACGUGUUAUCCUUUCGCAACAGGCUUUAUGAUUACCGCUCUUUUCUCUAGCUUGGCGCGCUGAGGCCCAGAUCAUCCCGUUUCCUGAAACACCCUCCGCGGAUUGUUUUACGAUGACGUUGACGUUUUCUUCAUCACUAUCUGUGCGCUUUCUAAAUCGGAAUAAUGUCGAGGCUUGUUGUCCGUAUGACCCUGCUCGAACAAGUAGGCGAUUUGUUUCCGCCACUCGUCCAGGGACCCAUCGAGUAGCUACUCUAGAUAAUCGAGUUCCCGCGGGAGCUGUGCUGCGCUCACAGCUUAAUGCACGAAAUCCCUUUUGUACAAGCUGCAGUGCAACUCGUUAAUGCAGGGUAAUAUAAAUAUGUCUGUGAUGUAACCGCAAAGCGCGACGAGUAGAGAAUCUGUUCUUUUUGUAUCAUUGUAUGCCGCUAAUUUUCUGGCGUCGGCUUCGACAGUAUUGCUGUUUGAGCCCUUAUUUGACUAUUUGGAAGUACCAGCUAAUGGUUUGUUACGUCU